Molecule: ribosomal RNA, 292 nt
Filed under: uncultured bacterium
Lineage: Bacteria
Description: partial 16S ribosomal RNA
Rfam family: Bacterial small subunit ribosomal RNA
Source: RNAcentral
GUGUCAGCCGCCGCGGUAAUACGGAGGGUGCAAGCGUUGUUCGGAAUUAUUGGGCGUAAAGCGCGUGUAGGCGGUUUGUUAAGUCUGAUGUGAAAGCCCUGGGCUCAACCCGGGAAGUGCAUUGGAAACUGGCAGACUUGAAUACGGGAGAGGGUAGUGGAAUUCCUAGUGUAGGAGUGAAAUCCGUAGAUAUUAGGAGGAACACCGGUGGCGAAGGCGGCUACCUGGCCCGAUAUUGACGCUGAGACGCGAAAGCGUGGGGAGCAAACAGGAUUAGAUACCCGGGUAGUCC